RNAcentral lists this ribosomal RNA (728 nucleotides) under uncultured bacterium. RNAcentral describes it as "bacterial SSU rRNA". It matches the Rfam family "Bacterial small subunit ribosomal RNA", at positions 131 to 871 of the family's 1533-position model. The record is from RNAcentral.
UUCGAGUUGGGGAUAGCCCUGGGAAACCAGGAUUAAUACCCGAUGUGGUCACAACAGGACAUCCUGGUGUGAGUAAAGGCGUAAGCCGCUCGAUGACGGGCUCGCGGCCUAUUAGCUUGUUGGUGGGGUAACGGCCUACCAAGGCGAUGAUGGGUAGCUGGUCUGAGAGGACGAUCAGCCACACUGGGACUGAGACACGGCCCAGACUCCUACGGGAGGCAGCAGUUAGGAAUUUUCCGCAAUGGGCGAAAGCCUGACGGAGCAACGCCGCGUGAGUGAUGAAGACCUUCGGGUUGUAAAGCUCUGUCGGAGGGGAAGAACACAAUGACGGUACCCUCCAAGAAAGCCCCGGCUAACUACGUGCCAGCAGCCGCGGUAAUACGUAGGGGGCGAGCGUUAUCCGGAUUUACUGGGCGUAAAGCGCGUUAAGGCGGCCGACAAAGUUGGUGGUGAAAUUUCAGGGCUCAACUCUGAAACUGCCUCCAAUACUGGUUGGCUUGAGUGCGAGAGAGGAAGGUGGAAUUCCCGGUGUAGUAGUGAAAUGCGUAGAUAUCGGGAGGAACACCAGUGGCGAAGGCGGCCUUCUGGCUCGCAACUGACGCUGUAGCGCGAAAGCGUGGGGAGCGAACGGGAUUAGAUACCCCGGUAGUCCACGCCCUAAACGAUGUGCACUAGGUGUUGGGCGUAUUGACGCGCUCAGUGCCGCAGCUAACGCAUUAAGUGCACCG